CAGUAGCCACGGGAAUACAGAGGGUGCGAGCGUUAAUCGGAUUUACUGGGCGUAAAGCGUGCGCAGGCGGUUAUAUAAGACAGAUGUGAAAUCCCCGGGCUCAACCUGGGAACUGCAUUUGUGACUGUAUAGCUAGAGUACGGCAGAGGGGGAUGGAAUUCCGCGUGUAGCAGUGAAAUGCGUAGAUAUGCGGAGGAACACCGAUGGCGAAGGCAAUCCCCUGGGCCUGUACUGACGCUCAUGCACGAAAGCGUGGGGAGCAAACAGGAUUAGAUACCCCUGUAGUCCCUGUCUCUUAUAC
Molecule: ribosomal RNA, 301 nt
Filed under: uncultured bacterium
Lineage: Bacteria
Description: partial 16S ribosomal RNA
Rfam family: Bacterial small subunit ribosomal RNA
Source: RNAcentral